RNAcentral lists this long non-coding RNA (3335 nucleotides) under Sus scrofa (pig). RNAcentral's name for it is "lncRNA (ENSSSCG00015042189.1)". Lineage: Eukaryota; Metazoa; Chordata; Mammalia; Artiodactyla; Suidae. The record is from RNAcentral.
GGAAGGGUGUUGAGGUUGCAAGUUGGGCCCAGAUUGUUCAGGGCUAUUUAGACCUUAGACUUUGGGUUUUCUUUUUGUUUUCAUGGUAAGGCCUUUAAGGGAUUAAGCAGGGAACAGACCUGAUAGGCUUCAUCUUCCUCCUGCUUAGUGGAGAAUAGGUGCUAGGGCUGGGCUGCCCCAAUGUACCUCCCCAGGGACCCUCAGUGGGCCCUUUAUGUAGACUGCACUGUGAAUGGUACCCUCUGGGGUUGGGCCCUGUCAGUAGCCUUUCCAAAGGCAGGAGUACCAGGGGAAGACAUUUCAGACAGUGGUUCUACAGAUGGGCUGCAUGUUAUACCCCUUGGGGGCAGUUUCUAAAGAAUAUCGAUGCCCAGCUGUACCUCCACCACUAGCCUACUUAAAAUCAGAACCUGUGGGAGUGGGGCCCAGGUGUCCAUGUGUAGCCAAGGUUGAGAACCUGCUUGGGAGGUUGUCAUGGCAGCCCAGGCAGGAGGUGAUGACCAUCUGGACUAGGACAGUGGCAGUGCAGAGUGGAAUUUGGGAUAUAUAUAUACACACACACACACAUAUAUAUAUUCUAUUUUUUAUUUAAAAUAUAGUUGAUUUGGAGUUUCUGUUGUGGCACAGUGGAAACGAAUCUGACAUAUCAAUGAGGAUUCUGGUUUGAUCCCUGGAUUCGCUCAGUGGGUUAAGGAUGUGGCAGUGGGUUAAGUGGGUUAAGGGUGUGGCAGUGGGUUAAGCUGUGGUGUAGGUCACAGACUAGACUUGGAUCUGACUUUGCUGUGGCUGUGGUGAAGGCUGGCAGCUGCAGCUCUGAUUUGACGCCUAGCCUGGGAACAUCCUUAUGCCAUGGGUGCAGUCCCCCUUAAAGGCAAAAAUCAAUCAAUCAAUCAAAUAUAGUUGAUUUACAAUGUUUUGCCAAUUUCUGAUGUACAGGAAAGUGACACAGUCAUACAUAUAUACACACACACUUAUAUUCCGUGGUUUUUUUUUUCCUGUCUUUUUAGGGCUGCACUCCCGGCAUAUGGAGCUUCCCAGGCUAGGGAGGCUAAAAUUGGAACUGUAGCUGCCAGCCUAUGCCACAUCCAGAGCAAUGCAGGAUCUGAGGCCCAGCUGUGACCUACACCACAGCUCACAGCAACGCUGAAACAUUAACCCACUGAGCAAGGCCAGGGAUUGAACCCAUGUCCUCAUGGAUACUAGUUGGGAUUGUUAACUGCUGAGCCAUGAUGGGAACUCCCACUUUCCCUUUCUUAUACUAUCUUCUAUUAUGGUCUAUCCCAAGAGACUGGAUAUAAUUCCCUGUGCUAUAUACAGCAGGACCUCCUUGUUUACGAGUUAUAUUUUUGUGGUAGAAUAGACACGCUUGGCUGAACGUGCGGAGGGGAGUGAAUGGGAAGAAACAAGGGUUACUCCCAGGUUUUCAGCUUGGGAAACUAUUAGAAAUAGUUCCCAAACUUCAGCUGGCUUCAGAAUCACAUGGAAGGCUUGUUAGAACACAGAUUGCUGGACCUCUCCUCCAGAGUUUCUGAUUCUAGAUGGGGUCUGAGAAUUUGCAUUAAGAAUAAGUUCCUGGGUGGUACUGUCCAUCCAGGGACCACAUUUUCACCCAAGAGGACAGCUUUUCAAAUGCCCCAUCAGGCCACAUGCCAAUGAAUUAAAUCCACAUUCCUGGGGGUGGGAUGCAGGCAUCAGUUUGGGAUCACUUGGGAACUUGUUUGAUCUGUUUAAGUCUGGCCAGUCCCCGCAAAAAUGGUUAAUUGGUCUGUGGUAGGACUUGGAAACUGAUAUCUUUGAAAAUCUCCUUUGGAAUUCUUCUAAUCACAUGUCACCAGUUCGGGGAGCCACAGCAUCAGGCGGGCGGUGAUGUCAAGUGCUGAGGUAGGUACAGGUGUUCUAACUCUCUACCAUGGUUUCAGAAGUCCCCCACCUCCAAGGAGCUCUCUUUCACGGCCCUAGACAUAUGAAGCUCUUAAAAUAUCUAGACCAAAAGAUUGAGCUCCCUCCUUUACCUUUUUUGCUUUAAAUACACAAUGACAUACAAGUCCUAGAGAACCAGCUGUUAACUCAGUCCCCGUCAGAAUACAAUAGUGUAUGCAAAUAACUGAAUCACUUUGUUGUACAGCAAAAAUGAUCACUACCUUGUAGAUCAACCAUGCUUCCAUAAAAUGUUAAAAAAUGAAAUCACAAAUAUAAUUGUUUGGUCCCAGCGGAUAAAUGAAGUAAGAGUAGUAUUUCAUGACAAUCACUUCAAUGUCAAUAGAAAAAAUGUCAAUUGAAUCAAUUGACUCCUGUUUGAGGAGUAUUGUGUAGAAUUUGGGGAGGACACCCAACACCUUCAAGAGAAUCAUUCAUGUCUUGUUUCAUAUUUGAAUAAACAUCAUUUGUGUCUUAAGCAAAAAGAAUACUGUAGAAAUUGUCACUAUUUAGGGAUAGCUGCUCCCAUUGCAUUCUUAGUGCAUAGCGCAGUGCCUGACCCAUAAUAAACAUUAAAUACAUACUUAUUGACCAAAUGAACUACCUUGCGAAAAAUGAAAACUUUCUGAAAACUGAAUAAAGCUCCGAAGCAGUAACCAACGAGUUCCAUCAAUCUCGAUGCUGGUUGUGAAACAGGAUUUUGAUGUGGGUCCACUUGCAAUAAGUUUACGUGACAUCAACAUUGAUCCAACAGCUUCUGGGCCAUGAUAAAACAGACAUGUUUGCAGAGCCCUGGAGGAUUUUCAGGGGCUCUCUUUGCAGGAGAAUACAUCCUUUGGGUCUCCAGCAUAAGAGGCCAGGGGCCACGUGCUCAGAUAUGGUUUCCACCAAGGCAUCUUGGGAUGCAGCCGAUGAAGUCACUACCACCAUCUGGGGUAUGUAAGAAAUGCCACUCCUGGGAGUUCCCGCUGUGGCUGAGUGGAAACGAAUCUGACUAGUAUCCAUAAGGACACAGGUUCAAUCCCUGGCCUCACUUAGCGGGUUAAGGAUUCAAUGUUGCUGUGGCUGAGUGGAAACAAAUCUGACUAGUAUCCAUAAGGACACAGGUUCAAUCCCUGGCCUCACUUAGCGGGUUAAGGAUUCAAUGUUGCUGUGGCUGUGGUAUAGGCUGGUGGCUAAAUCUCUAUAUGCUAUGUGUGCAGCCCUAAAACGCAAAUAAAUAAAUAAAUAAAUAAAUAAAUAAAUAUUAAGAAAAAAAUGCCACUCCUGGAGUUCCUGUUGUGGUUCAACAGGUUAAGAACUCAACAUAGUGUCCGUGAGGACGUGGGUUAGAUCCCUGCCCUUACUCAUUGGAUUAAGGAUCUGGUGUAGGUCACAGAUGUGACUUGGAUACAAUGUUGCUAUGGCUGUGCUAGGCC